UACGAAGGGGGCUAGCGUUGCUCGGAAUUACUGGGCGUAAAGCGCACGUAGGCGGCUUUUUAAGUCGGGGGUGAAAUCCUGGAGCUCAACUCCAGAACUGCCUUUGAUACUGAGGACCUUGAGUCCGGGAGAGGUGAGUGGAACUGCGAGUGUAGAGGUGAAAUUCGUAGAUAUUCGCAAGAACACCAGUGGCGAAGGCGGCUCACUGGCCCGAUACUGACGCUGAGGUGCGAAAGCGUGGGGAGCAAACAGG
This 253-nucleotide ribosomal RNA is filed under the name uncultured bacterium. RNAcentral describes it as "partial 16S ribosomal RNA". It matches the Rfam family "Bacterial small subunit ribosomal RNA", at positions 524 to 776 of the family's 1533-position model. The record is from RNAcentral.